CCAAUAGCGUAUAUUAAAGUUGUUGCAGUUAAAAAGCUCGUAGUUGAAUUUCGGGACCAAUCUGCCGGUCGUGCCUCCGGUACGCACUGGUUUUAUUGGUUUCUCCCUUCUGACGAACCAUGAUGUCAUUAAUUUGUUGUCAUGGGGAAUCAGGACUGUUACUUUGAAAAAAUUAGAGUGUUUAUAGCAGGCUCACGCUUGAAUACAUUAGCAUGGAAUAAUUAAAUAGGACGUUUGACCCUAUUUUGUUGGUUUCUAGGAUCGACGUAAUGAUUAAUAGGGAUAGUUGGGGGCAUUAGUAUUCAAUUGUCAGAGGUGAAAUUCUUGGAUUUAUUGAAGACUAACUACUGCGAAAGCAUUUGCCAAGGAUGUUUUCAUUAAUCAAGAACGAAAGUUAGGGGAUCGAAGACGAUCAGAUACCGUCGUAGUCUUAACCAUAAACUAUGCCGACUAGGGAUCGGAUGAUGUUAAUUUUUUAAUGACUCAUUCGGCGCCUUACG
Molecule: unclassified non-coding RNA, 500 nt
Filed under: uncultured Glomus
Lineage: Eukaryota; Fungi; Glomeromycota; Glomeromycetes; Glomerales; Glomeraceae
Description: SSU rRNA
Rfam family: Eukaryotic small subunit ribosomal RNA
Source: RNAcentral